Molecule: long non-coding RNA, 429 nt
Organism: Ictalurus punctatus (channel catfish)
Lineage: Eukaryota; Metazoa; Chordata; Actinopteri; Siluriformes; Ictaluridae
Source: Ensembl
UGAAGAUGUAGCAGUAUGAAUGUAAACCCCUGUGAUCAGGACAGGUAUCUGAAGAUGUAGCAGUAUGAAUGUAAACCCCUGUGAUCAGGACAGGUAUCUGAAGAUAUCUGCAGCAAAUUGCUUUUCUUCAAACUGUGCAUGAUCGUCGACCCAUGCAGAUUCUCAAAAUAGGCCACGCCUACCAGAUGAUGUAAUACCGCUUACGCUGUCCUGAAAUCCCUGGGAAAAGUGACAGCUGAUUGUAACUCCAGUUGAAGUGAAAAUAUCCUGCACAUCUUCUUCAAUCAUAAGCCCCGCCCCCUCACUGUGCUCCUCCUGGCUUCACUUUUCCCCAUGGAAACCUCAACUUGCAUUCAGACAAUAAUUCAUAAUCCGACAUUGUAGCUGAGGAGAGGUAACUUCCAGGUAACGCUUAUCGCUGUGUUAAUG